Etheostoma cragini (Arkansas darter) is the source of this 98-nucleotide long non-coding RNA. RefSeq lists it as uncharacterized. NCBI's taxonomy places the organism in Eukaryota, Metazoa, Chordata, Actinopteri, Perciformes, Percidae. The transcript is spliced from 3 exons. The record is from RefSeq and is a predicted model, not a curated record.
CAUUACAAUAUAAAGCCACCAUGUUUUCAUCAAACUCUGAAUUAAAUCAGACUUUAAUCAAAUGAGUGUGCAGUAGGAAGUGAAAUAUUUCAAAAGAG